GUAGUCCACGCUGUAAACGAUGAUCACUAGAUGUCGGGGGUCUUACCCCUCCGGUGUCGUAGCUAACGCGUUAAGUGAUCCGCCUGGGAAGUACGGUCGCAAGAUUAAAACUCAAAGAAAUUGACGGGGGCCCGCACAAGCAGUGGAGUAUGUGGUUUAAUUCGAUGCAACGCGCAGAACCUCACCUAGGCUUGACAUCCACCGCUAUUCUCCGAAAGGAGAAGUUCCCGCAAGGGACGGUGAGACAGGUGCUGCAUGGCUGUCGUCAGCUCGUGUCGUGAGAUGUUGGGUUAAGUCCCGCAACGAGCGCAACCCUUGCCAUUAGUUGCCAGCAUUAAGUUGGGCACUCUAAUGGGACCGCUAGUCGAUAAGACAGA
Molecule: ribosomal RNA, 377 nt
Filed under: uncultured bacterium
Lineage: Bacteria
Description: bacterial SSU rRNA
Rfam family: Bacterial small subunit ribosomal RNA
Source: RNAcentral